GCAUUAUUUGACGUUACCUACAGAAGAAGCACCGGCUAACUCCGUGCCAGCAGCCGCGGUAAUACGGAGGGUGCGAGCGUUAAUCGGAAUUACUGGGCGUAAAGCGCAUGCUAGGCGGCCUGUUAAGUCAGAUGUGAAAGCCCGGGGCUUAACCUCGGAAUUGCAUUUGAAACUGGCAGGCUAGAGUCUUGUAGAGGGGGUAGAAUUUCAGGUGUAGCGGUGAAAUGCGUAGAGAUCUGAAGGAAUACCAGUGGCGAAGGCGGCCCCCUGGACAAAGACUGACGCUCAGAUGCGAAAGCGUGGGGAGCAAACAGGAUUAGAUACCCUGGGAG
This 332-nucleotide ribosomal RNA is filed under the name uncultured bacterium. Its description in RNAcentral is "bacterial SSU rRNA". It matches the Rfam family "Bacterial small subunit ribosomal RNA", at positions 462 to 793 of the family's 1533-position model. The record is from RNAcentral.